GUGGGGAAUAUUGGACAAUGGGCGAAAGCCUGAUCCAGCCAUGCCGCGUGAGUGAUGAAGGCCUUAGGGUUGUAAAGCUCUUUCAGUAGGGAAGAUAAUGACGGUACCUACAGAAGAAGCCCCGGCUAACUUCGUGCCAGCAGCCGCGGUAAUACGAAGGGGGCUAGCGUUGUUCGGAUUUACUGGGCGUAAAGCGCACGUAGGCGGAUUGGUCAGUUAGAGGUGAAAUCCUGGAGCUCAACUCCAGAACUGCCUUUAAUACUGCCAGUCUAGAGUCCAGAAGAGGUGAGUGUAACUCCUAGUGUAGAGGUGGAAUUCGUAGAUAUUAGGAAGAACACCAGUGGCGAAGGCGGCUCACUGGUCUGGUACUGACGCUGAGGUGCGAAAGCGUGGGGAGCAAACAGGAUUAGAUACCCCAGUAGUCC
RNAcentral lists this ribosomal RNA (425 nucleotides) under uncultured bacterium. RNAcentral describes it as "partial 16S ribosomal RNA". It matches the Rfam family "Bacterial small subunit ribosomal RNA", at positions 354 to 796 of the family's 1533-position model. The record is from RNAcentral.